AGCCCUGUAGUGUAAUUACAUAUUGAAUUGCAAAUUCAAAGAAGCAGCUUCAAUUCUGCCGGGGCUUC
RNAcentral lists this transfer RNA (68 nucleotides) under Rangifer tarandus (reindeer). RNAcentral's name for it is "tRNA-Cys". It matches the Rfam family "tRNA". From Rfam's summary of the family: Transfer RNA (tRNA) molecules are approximately 80 nucleotides in length. Their secondary structure includes four short double-helical elements and three loops (D, anti-codon, and T loops). Further hydrogen bonds mediate the characteristic L-shaped molecular structure. tRNAs have two regions of fundamental functional importance: the anti-codon, which is responsible for specific mRNA codon recognition, and the 3' end, to which the tRNAs corresponding amino acid is attached (by aminoacyl-tRNA synthetases). tRNAs cope with the degeneracy of the genetic code in two manners: having more than one tRNA (with a specific anti-codon) for a particular amino acid; and 'wobble' base-pairing, i.e. permitting non-standard base-pairing at the 3rd anti-codon position. The record is from RNAcentral. Lineage: Eukaryota; Metazoa; Chordata; Mammalia; Artiodactyla; Cervidae.